AUACUUACCUGGCAUGGGAGGUACCAUGUUCAUGAAGGGGGGUUUUCCUAGGGCAAAGCUUACUCAUUGAAUUCCAGAUAUGCUGCCCCCUGUGAUUUCCGCACAUGUGGAAAUCGAACUCCAUCAUUUUUGGUAAUUAGGAACUGUGUUCAUAAUCUCCCUUA
This is a small nuclear RNA of 164 nucleotides. Its record names the gene U1. It matches the Rfam family "U1 spliceosomal RNA". From Rfam's summary of the family: U1 is a small nuclear RNA (snRNA) component of the spliceosome (involved in pre-mRNA splicing). Its 5' end forms complementary base pairs with the 5' splice junction, thus defining the 5' donor site of an intron. The record is from Ensembl.